RNAcentral lists this ribosomal RNA (374 nucleotides) under uncultured organism. RNAcentral's name for it is "partial 16S ribosomal RNA". It matches the Rfam family "Bacterial small subunit ribosomal RNA", at positions 527 to 896 of the family's 1533-position model. The record is from RNAcentral.
GUAGGUGGCUAGCGUUGUCCGGAAUUAUUGGGCGUAAAGCGCGCGCAGGCGGUUCUUUAAGUCUGAUGUGAAAGCCCACGGCUCAACCGUGGAGGGUCAUUGGAAACUGGAGAACUUGAGUACAGAAGAGGAAAGCGGAAUUCCACGUGUAGCGGUGAAAUGCGUAGAGAUGUGGAGGAACACCAGUGGCGAAGGCGGCUUUCUGGUCUGUAACUGACGCUGAGGCGCGAAAGCGUGGGGAGCAAACAGGAUUAGAUACCCUGGUAGUCCACGCCGUAAACGAUGAGUGCUAAGUGUUAGGGGGGUUUUCCGCCCCCCUUAGUGCUGCAGCUAACGCAUUAAGCACUCCGCCUGGGAGUACGACCGCAAGGUUG